UUUAUCUUUUCUUUGCCCCAAGAGUGCAUCUAUUACCUAAUCACUUGCAUCACACAUUAAUUCGAAAGGUACAGACCAAUCAGGUGGAGCAAUUAUUGGUGCAGACACUAAUUUGUCCUUCAGAGUUUCAAAAAGUAUGCAGAUAUUCUUGAUUAAAAACAAAUGGAGCAUCUUUAAAUAAAAAACUACGCAAUGGUUUUGUAAUUUUAGAAAAAUCUUUUAUAAAUUUUCUAUAAAAUCUUGCACGUCCUAAAAAACUCCGAAUUACUUUCACAUUCAUUGGCGCGGUGGUAAUUUUUCAAUUACCUCCACUUUAACUUUAUCAACCUCUAUGCCUUUAGUUGAGAUUCGUUGCCCAAGAACAAUACCUUCUGUUACCAAAAAUGAAAUUUUUUUCAAUUCAGAACUAGGUUUGUUUCUUGACUCCUUUUCAAAACUAAAGACAAGUGGUUCAAGUAUAAGUCAAAAGUAUCACCAAAUACCAAAAAAUCAUUGAUAAAUAUCUCUAUAUAUUUUUUUACCAUAUCAUAAAAGAUGGAAAGCAUGCACCUUUGAAAAGUGGAGUGUGCAUUGCACAACCUGAAAGGCAUUCUACGAUAGGCAAAAACUCCAUAUGGCAUGUGAAAGCUGUCUUUCUUGAUCGAAAGAAUCAACCGCAAUUUGGUUGUACCCUGAGUAUCUAUCCAAAAAAUAGUAAAAAGUGUGGCCGGUAAGUCUUUCCAACAUUUGAUCAAUGAAUGGUAGAAGAAAGUGAUCCUUCCUGAUUGCCAUGUUAAGCCUUCGAUAGUCAAUGCACAUCCUCCAGUCGAUAAUCGUUCUUGUAGGGAUUAGCUCAUUUUUUUAUUGGAAACAUAAUUCCUCCCUUCUUUGGCACAACUUGCACCGGACUGACCCACAAAUUGUCGAAGAUAGGAUAGAUGAUUCCUGCAUCCCAAAACUUCAUCAUUUUCUUGUGAACAACCUCCCUCAUUGUUGGAUUGAGCCUUCUUUGUGCAUGUACAAUAGAUUUAGAAUUUUUCUCCAAUAGAAUCUUGUGCAUGCACAUUGCGAGACAAAUUCGUUUUAAAUCACUGAUUAUCCAUCCAAUUAUGGUAUUGUAUUCCCUCAGUACUUGUAGUAAUCCUUAUUCUUAUAAUUCACUCAAUGGCCAUGUAUAAUCACGGGAUAAGUUUCAUUAGCUCCAAGAAAUACAUACUUGAGAGUUGGAGAUAAAGGUUUUAACUCUAGCUUAGGCGAGCGGUUCUUGCUCUUGUCAUCUCCCUCCUUAGUGUUACUUGUUCAUUCUUACAUGAAUGAGGUGGACACGGGAGUCUUCUCUAUUGAAUGCACAUUUUUUAACUCUUCCAUUGUCUCAGAACAUGGGUACAAUAGAGUUUCUAGAGAUUUUACAAGAGAUUUUUUAUUAAGAACUUUUUGGAUUAAUAAUAGAUCGAUUAAAUAUACUCAUACAACUCUUUGUUUCACUUGGAUACUGCAUGACUUUAAAGACAUUGAAGACCAUUUAUUCAUCAUGAAUCCUCAGUGUUAACUCACCCUUUUGGACACCUAUAAGAGCUCGUCAUGUGACUAAGAAUGGUCUCUCUAGAAUUAUUGAAGCAUAUCAAGGAUUACAAAAUCAGCAAGAAAAAUGAAUUUUUUCACUUUGACCAAAGUGUUUUCCACUAUCCCAGGUGAAAACUUUAUUGAUCCAUUUGCUAAUUGUAGAGAGAUCCUUGUUGGCUUUACCUCCUCUUUUUGUAGCUUCCUCAUCAUGGUUAAGGACAUUAAAUUAAUGCUUACCCUAAAUCACAUAGUUCCUUUCCAAUGGUGAUGUCUCAAAUAGUGUAAAAAAUUUAAAAACUCUCUGGAUCUUUUAAUUUUUGUGGCAGUUUUUUUUUUGGAUGAUGACACUACAUUCCUUGGUGAGUAUUACUAUUUCAUCUUCUCUGAGAUUUCUUUUCUCGGACAAUAAUUCCUUCAUAAAUUUAGCAUAGAUGAGCAUUUGCUCUAAACCUUCUGUGAAGAGAACGUUGAUCUGUAACUUUCUAAACACUUCUUGAAAUUUAGAAAAUUGCUUCUCCUGAUUCUGCUUCUGCAACCUUUAAGGAAAUGGGAUUUUAGGUGUAUAGGACUUCUUCUUCAUAUUCUCUUUCUUGACUUCAGGUGGUAGAGAAGUGUUGUACUUACUCUGAUUUCUUCUCCUCUUUUUCUUCUGAAGGUUCCUCAGCUUGUUAUUCAUUAUUUUUUGGAGAUUCUUUGCUAACCACUCUUCGGCUUCUAAGAUUAAUAUUCUUGCAUUCCUCUCUAAGAUUAGCUUAAAGUCUGUUCAACAAAUGUCGAGGUUGAUUGAGACAAUUUUUUCAUAGCAAUAUCAAAAGAUGAGAAUUUCUAAGGAUUCUAUGCACAGGAUGUGCUUACUAUUGGUAUGGAAGUUUGAAGUUUCUCUGUUCUUCAUUUUGCUAACCAAAAUUCGGAUGGUUCUUUCAUCCAGGAUUGUAAGUUUUUGAGAAAGGGUCUUUCUGUGGUCUUGAAGAAUUUCCCAUAUAAUUUACUUGCUCGGUAGAAGGUUGGACAUCCUUGAAAAGUUUACAUUCUUCAUUCUUAUGAGCUCUCCUACACAAGUCACAGAUGACAACUUGUAUCCCAAUAGCUGCGACUUGUAUUUGUCCCAUUUGUUUAGUGAAUGAGGUGAUUUGUUGAGACA
Non-coding RNA from Arachis ipaensis, 2683 nucleotides. NCBI's taxonomy places the organism in Eukaryota, Viridiplantae, Streptophyta, Magnoliopsida, Fabales, Fabaceae. The record is from RefSeq and is a predicted model, not a curated record.